UACGUAGGGUGCGAGCGUUGUCCGGAAUUACUGGGCGUAAGAGCUCGUAGGCGGUUUGUCGCGUCGUUCGUGAAAACUUGGGGCUUAACUCCAAGCGUGCGGGCGAUACGGGCAGACUUGAGUACUACAGGGGAGACUGGAAUUCCUGGUGUAGCGGUGAAAUGCGCAGAUAUCAGGAGGGACACCGGUGGCGAAGGCGGGUCUCUGGGUAGUAACUGACGCUGAGGAGCGAAAGCGUGGGUAGCGAACAGG
Molecule: ribosomal RNA, 252 nt
Filed under: uncultured bacterium
Lineage: Bacteria
Description: partial 16S ribosomal RNA
Rfam family: Bacterial small subunit ribosomal RNA
Source: RNAcentral